UUUAUCUCUGGCGCUAACUCCCUUGCCCUCCUCCACUUUCGGCUCUGGCUCCGGCUCCAACUCCAACUCCAACUCCGGCUCCCUACCUCUUUCCUUCUCCACCUACGGCUUCCUACGUCUACCUCAACCCCGCCCCCCACAGCUCGCUUCCCCGCCCCAUCCCCUGCUCUUUGCCAUCGUUGCAACCUCAUUGCAGUACUACAUUCUCAAUCUGGAGGGUCCGUCUUGAAAAAUGGGCAAGGCCGAUUUUAUUUCAUUGCUGCAACCUCAUCGCAGGUGGCGGACCAAGUCUAUGAGGAAGGCUGUAACUUACUGAAAUUAAAACAGAUAAGAGCAGGGCUUCUCCAACAGUAUAUCCCAAGCUUAGAAAGUGAUUCGAAAAUAGAAUUCCAAAACAACCAUAGAAGGAUCGAUGGGAAAGGGAAAGGGGAACUUGUCAAUAGAGUUGCAGAGAAAGGGAAGGGAAGAGGACGACAAAGUAAAUCGCUUCACAAGAAAGAGAGAGAAAGAGAUCUGAGCAGUGGCAAGGUCAGUUGGUCGGUUGCAGGGGCAAGGAGAGAGAAAGAGAUGAAGAGAAAAGGCGUAGCCGUGGUUGACUGAAAGUUGGAGUCUUUCUUUUCAUCCAAGGGUUAAUAACCCUCUAGCAUUCCUGAUUCUAUUGUAACCUGCUAGCACAUCUAUACUUUCCCUAAAUAUAAAAAGUUUUUAGGAACAAAUAUGCACUCUAAAGUAGUCAAUUAAAUUUCUAA
This is a long non-coding RNA of Macadamia integrifolia, 749 nucleotides long. RefSeq lists it as uncharacterized. Lineage: Eukaryota; Viridiplantae; Streptophyta; Magnoliopsida; Proteales; Proteaceae. The record is from RefSeq and is a predicted model, not a curated record. The transcript has 2 exons.